RNAcentral lists this ribosomal RNA (253 nucleotides) under uncultured prokaryote. Its description in RNAcentral is "partial 16S ribosomal RNA". It matches the Rfam family "Bacterial small subunit ribosomal RNA", at positions 524 to 776 of the family's 1533-position model. The record is from RNAcentral.
UACGAGUGCCCCAAGCGUUAUCCGGAAUCAUUGGGCGUAAAGGGUGUGUAGGUGGUCUCGUUAGUCUCCUGUUAAAACUUUUGGCUUAACCAGAAGAUUGCAGGGGAAACGGCGAGACUGGAGGGUGCGAGAGGUGAAUGGAACUCAUGGAGUAGGGGUGAAAUCCGUUGAUAUCAUGGGGAACACCAAAUGCGAAGGCAAUUCACUGGCGCAUUUCUGACACUGAAACACGAAAGCGUGGGUAGCGAACGGG